GAUGAACGCUGGCGGCGUGCCUAAUACAUGCAAGUCGAGCGAACAGACGAGGAGCUUGCUCCUCUGACGUUAGCGGCGGACGGGUGAGUAACACGUGGAUAACCUACCUAUAAGACUGGGAUAACUUCGGGAAACCGGAGCUAAUACCGGAUAAUAUAUUGAACCGCAUGGUUCAAUAGUGAAAGACGGUUUUGCUGUCACUUAUAGAUGGAUCCGCGCCGCAUUAGCUAUUUGGUAAGGUAACGGCUUACCAAGGCAACGAUGCGUAGCCGACCUGAGAGGGUGAUCGGCCACACUGGAACUGAGACACGGUCCAGACUCCUACGGGAGGCAGCAGUAGGGAAUCUUCCGCAAUGGGCGAAAGCCUGACGGAGCAACGCCGCGUGAGUGAUGAAGGUCUGCGGAUCGUAAAACUCUGUUAUUAGGGAAGAACAAAUGUGUAAGUAACUAUGCACGUCUUGACGGUACCUAAACAGAAAGCCACGGCUAACUACGUG
RNAcentral lists this ribosomal RNA (497 nucleotides) under uncultured bacterium. Its description in RNAcentral is "partial 16S ribosomal RNA". It matches the Rfam family "Bacterial small subunit ribosomal RNA", at positions 28 to 507 of the family's 1533-position model. The record is from RNAcentral.